GCCGCCGUAGCUCAGCUGGUUAGAGCGCGGGACUGUGGAGGCCCGGCUGAGGCCGCGGAGAUCCCGAGGUCCCGGGUUCAAAUCCCGGCGGCGGCC
RNAcentral lists this transfer RNA (96 nucleotides) under Ignicoccus hospitalis KIN4/I. It matches the Rfam family "tRNA". Rfam says of the family: Transfer RNA (tRNA) molecules are approximately 80 nucleotides in length. Their secondary structure includes four short double-helical elements and three loops (D, anti-codon, and T loops). RNAcentral also lists the same sequence under 1 other name. Lineage: Archaea; Thermoproteati; Thermoproteota; Thermoprotei; Desulfurococcales; Desulfurococcaceae. The record is from Rfam by way of RNAcentral.